UGAUAUAAUAAUCCGGUCCAUUUCUUCAC
Molecule: small RNA, 29 nt
Filed under: Bombyx mori (domestic silkworm)
Lineage: Eukaryota; Metazoa; Arthropoda; Insecta; Lepidoptera; Bombycidae
Description: ovarian small RNA-32501
Source: RNAcentral